Molecule: ribosomal RNA, 152 nt
Filed under: Alphaproteobacteria bacterium
Lineage: Bacteria; Pseudomonadati; Pseudomonadota; Alphaproteobacteria
Description: partial 16S ribosomal RNA
Rfam family: Bacterial small subunit ribosomal RNA
Source: RNAcentral
CACACCGCCCGUCACACCAUGGGAGUUGGCUUUACCCGAAGGCGGUGCGCCAACCUGUUUACAGGAGGCAGCCGACCACGGUAAGGUCAGCGACUGGGGUGAAGUCGUAACAAGGUAGCCGUAGGGGAACCUGCGGCUGGAUCACCUCCUUU